AUCCCAGAUGAAACUCCCUUGUAUUUGUCUGAUUCAUGGGAGGCGAAAAUUGACAAUGGAAGUUUCUCUGAUAGUACCUUUUUCCUUGUUUGGAAGGUGUUCUAAUAGUUGCUCUCCUUACAUGA
This 125-nucleotide small nucleolar RNA is filed under the name Cephalotus follicularis. The record is from RNAcentral. Lineage: Eukaryota; Viridiplantae; Streptophyta; Magnoliopsida; Oxalidales; Cephalotaceae.